UAAAAAUGUUGAAUUAUUUGAUGCCACUCUAUUGAUUUCUUAGGAAAACAAAUUCUGUGUUUGUUUCCCCCCUCCCAAUGCAGGUCAUAGUAUUGGCAUAAGAGGAGGCAUAUACCGGUAUAUGGUGAAUAGUCACUAUAGUGCUAAAGAGAGUAAUGUAUUUUAUCAUCAUUAUAUUUAUAACUAUCUUUUCAUUCAAGGGCUCAAAAAACUAACCAUGUGAGGUAGUUGGCCUAAGAGAAACAUCCAUCAAAAGUCAUUUGGUUAGACUGGUUGAAAGUAGACUAGAACCUGGGUCUCCCCUAGAACAUUGGCAGAUUGCAUUCAUUAUUCAACGUUUGUGGUUAAUAUCUAUUAUAUCUAUGGCAUAAAUCUUUGGAUAUAUAGAUAUAUUGUAGAUUUGGAUAAUGUUUAAUUCUACAAUUAAUGCACUAGUACUACAUCACAAUUGUUUUUAAGGUAAUAUGUUCAUUCCUGCAUUAACAAGUUUUGUGAAAGAAACUAAAAUUGCUUCUAAGUUUUGGCCUGUAAGCAGUCACUUUUUUAUAGAGUAACUAGUUUUAAUGCUUCAUUAUGUAGAAGAGAUUUCAUAUAAAAUAAUGUAGGUUUUUUUACUUGGCUAUUCUGAAUACAAUAUGCUCUACAUGGAUGGUAUAAAAUGGAAGGAUAAAAUACACAAUUUUGAUUUUUUUUGAAGUGUUGGAUACUUCAGAUUAAUCAAACUUUACAUAGAUUGGCAGGCCCUUUUCUGUUCCACUGACAAAUAUGGGAUUAAAAGACAGAGCAACAUGUCUAACAUUCAUUAGAUGUUUUAAGAUUGUAAUUUAGUUACAAAAUAGAGAACAUGUAAUGUAGCAAUAGUUUAGAAAGUGUAUUGGGUGAAUUGGUAGAUAGCUGGGACAUAUCACAUUGUCCCAUUUGUUUUCAGUUUUAAUUUAUAUAAUUCUUUAAGUGUCUACUGUUUACAAUUUUUACUGCAAUUUUGAGAGGAAACUCAAUAUCUUCCAUUAAGGAGAAUUUCAGGGUGGUAAUCAAAUGAUACAAAGAAUGGUCUUACAUGUCAUUCUGAAUAUUGUUGUCUAUGCUUAAAAUCUUAAUACAAAGCAAAUUUGUGUAUUAAAAGGCAAUAUUUUAUAAUUAGAAUCUUCCAUUUACUAUGCAGUUAUAUAAACGUAAGAUCAUUUAAAAAUGAAUUGUGUUCAUACCUAUCAGAUAAAUUUAAUAGAGUUGGAAUAUAGCAUGCCAUCCACAAGGUUACACAUAUUCUGUAUUUCUGUUUAGGUUAACUAGUAUGAUGGAAAAUCCAUUGCUGGGCUGUCUGUGCCAUGUAUCAAAAAGUUUGCAUUUAAUUAUCUGUGUUAGUUAAAUGUGAUCAGUGUAAUUUGUCAUGUAACUUAGGUGUAAAGUCAAAGUCAGCUAUGUUACAUUUUUUCUGCACUGAUACAGACAGAAUAAGACCACAGAUCCAGAAAGCUAUUUGAAUGAGCUUUUAUGACCUAAAAACAAUAGGUACUGAUAAGAGGAGAUUGGGUGGUGGGUGGGGGAGAAAAACAGAUAGUGAUUCUUUUUUUUCUUAGCUGAAGACCAGUAUAUCUAUAUUAAAAUAUGGGAAUGUUGAUUAAACAUAUAAGUCCGUAUGAUCAGCAUGAAUUUCUCUAGGUAUCUUGGGACUUUAUUUCACACAAUUCCCUAUCAUGCAAUCUACUAAGCACACAGGUUUUUGUUUGUUUGUUUUUUACAUUCUAUGCUUAUGAAAACUGGAGUCACUGUAGAGAUAUUUUGUCUAAGAAAGCUGCUUAGUUGGCUAAAGAGCCUCUGAUAAACUGUGGAAGUAGACCUGACAAGGACUACUCAAGUCCUUUCUCCUGGCUGUGGUAGUUUAUGGGGAAGCAAAAAUUAUGAGUGGAGAUUUUACAAACUCGUCUAUUUUUAUGUAAUUUGCUGAUACAUGGAUCAGGCAUUAGGAUGGUCCCAGGCCAUGUUUUGGUCACUUUAAUAAAGUUUAUGACAUAUUAUAGUGCGGGAAUAUACAAUUUAUAUCACUGCAACAUCUUCAGUAGUUGUACAUAUUGAAACUAGAAAAUAAUUAGAUUUGUAGAGAAAUUUGGCAUAAAUAUAUUAAUAUACUUUUAGUUCAACUUCAUAAUUCGUUUUUGACUUCUUGUGGACAUUUUCCUAAUAUAACAUCAAAAAACCAACUGUGGAUUUUGACAUCAUGUUUCAAACUGAGUGCAACAUUAAAGUGCCUUGUUCUCCUUGGAGCUGAGAAAGGAAGCAUUUCUAGAAACUGCAGUGCAAGAACAAUUCAUUGUUACCUCUUCUCUCUCUUGAACGAGGGACAUGCUUUGUGUCUGCAAUAUUUAUUAAUUUAGAAAAUUCAUAUCUUACUUUUCAGCUGGAGAAGCUUGCCAUUUGACUUAAGAGAUAGAUUACAAAUUUAUGCAAUAAUAUUACAAUAUAAAAAUUGUAGUUAUUAGCAAACAGCUACACUAAGCCAUGUGUAAAUUUAUGGAAUGGGGGAAAGCGACAGAUGAUAUACAGCUAUUGUAGUAAUUAACUUGAAAAUUAAGUGAGGAAAUCAGCUGAGGUCUAAAGGACUAGAAUUCUAAAAUGUUGAAAUUGCAACUAAAAAGAACCUUCCUGGUAUUUAAGAUACAUAAUCCUCUGCAGAUCAGGGAUGUGGUAUGCAACUACUGUCAAUUAUUAUUGAAAAUUUUAUCCAAACAGAUUAAAGGAUGAUGAUUGCCAAACAGAUUUAUGAAGAAUCAUUGAGAUAUUUAUAGGUAAUUAUAACACCUUAUGCCUAGAAACAAGAGACAUCUAGUGAAUUUGAGUUAAGGUAAGGACUUCCACUGUUUGCAAGGUUAGUUUUUGAACAUGUAGGAUCACAAUAAAGUGGAGUUGAAGAAAACAAAUGUGACUGUAGUCAAAGCAUUUAUGAGGCAUAUAGAAAAUUGCAAGUGGGUCCAGAAUGCAAUAAUACACAGUAAUGGUUCACCCAUUUAAACCUUUAUUGUGCAAACUGCACUGGCUCCAGAUUUCUUCCAGCUGCAAUUCAAAGUGCUGGUUAUCACAUUUAAAGCAUUAAGAGAACACAUCCAUUCCACUAGACCAGAUAGGGUGGGCAUGCUCCAGAUCCGCUCCCUGGAAUCUUGCGUUCUGCUGUAGUGGGGUUUUAGAAUCAUGCCAUUUCUGUGACUUCCCCUAACUUGUAUAACAACCUCCUACUGGUGAUUUGACAGAUGUCCACUCUUAGCCUUUUGGAAGACUGUUAAGACCCAAGAUCCAGCUUUUUACUGAGAUAUUGGGAUUGUAUAGGCUUAGGGUUGUGUGCAGUCCAAAGGGAACAAUUACUGCAAAUGGAAUUUUGUUUAUUGUUUCAUUGCUUUUAUUGUUUUUAACUUGGUUUUAUUUAUUGGUUUUACUGUUAUUGUGAGCUGCCCAGAGUUGUUUAAUAUGGAUGGGCUACAUAAGUCUGAGAAACAAACAAACAAAACAAUGGAGAUACUUAUUUUGUCCCUUUUCAGCUCUUCAGAAGAAUGUGGUAUUUACCUUACUUACCUCAAGGUAUGGGAGAUUGGAAUUUUACAACACAAUGUUAAUUUCUGAAAAGUACUCUACUGAAAAGAGUUUAUUUAAAUUUGCAAAUCACUGUUAUCCUUAUCUCUUAUCUUAAAAAAUGGAAGUAAAUCCAAUUAAUAGCAACUGCUGGACUCAACCAUUUGCAAGAAUUUUAUUCUAAAUAUUCAGCAGACCAAUUGUUUUAAGCUUAAAAGCCAUAUGGAAUAUUGACAACAUUUGUGUUAAGAGACUAUCAUCAGUAAGAGAAGGUUUUAUACAUUCAUUUGCAGGAUAUUUGAGAGAAAACAUGGAUUUUGGCUGUACUUCCCUUUUCUUCAAAGGAAGAGGAUGUUGGAUAAUUUGGAUGAGAAAAAUAAAGCUGAUUUAUUUGGUUUUGUAAAAGAGAAAAUUGAUUUGAAUUAUCCUGAUAUUUCCUUGGCCUUCUGAAUUUGGACUUUGUGGAUGAAUCUUCCUUAAUAUUUCCUGAAACUGCUGACAAAAUAUUUGGAGAAAUCUGAAACAUUGCUGAAAAAAAUAGAUUAUUUGAUGGGCAACUUACAACCCAGGACUUAUAAACAACCAACAAACCAAACAAAAGCCCCUACAUUGGUGCAUCUUUUUCCUCAUAGACUACUGAAUUCUGGAAUUUGUCAGAUGAACUAUCCAAAGAAAUCCAGAACUGAUGCUGUCACUUGUCUAAUACUCUGAUCAUGAGAAUCUUUAUAUAUGUGCAGAGGGAUUCUGAACCCUUCUCCUGGUUGAUCAGCACAAUGUCGUGACACUGGAGUUUUG
This is a long non-coding RNA of Ahaetulla prasina, 4353 nucleotides long. RefSeq lists it as uncharacterized. The record is from RefSeq and is a predicted model, not a curated record. The transcript is spliced from 4 exons. NCBI's taxonomy places the organism in Eukaryota, Metazoa, Chordata, Lepidosauria, Squamata, Colubridae.